UGGGGAAUUUUGCACAAUGGGGGAAACCCUGAUGCAGCGACGCCGCGUGAUUUAGAAGGCCUUCGGGUUGUAAAAAUCUUUUCUAUGGGAAGAAAAUGACAGUACCAUAGGAAUAAGGACCGGCUAAUUACGUGCCAGCAGCCGCGGUAAUACGUAAGGUCCGAGCGUUGUCCGGAAUCAUUGGGCGUAAAGGGUACGCAGGCGGUUUAAUAAGUCGAAUGUUAAAGAUCGGGGCUCAACCCCGUAAAGCAUUGGAAACUGAUAAACUUGAGUAGUGGAGAGGAAAGUGGAAUUCCUAGUGUAGUGGUGAAAUACGUAGAUAUUAGGAGGAAUACCAGUAGCGAAGGCGACUUUCUGGACACAAACUGACGCUGAGGUACGAAAGCGUGGGGAGCAAACAGG
RNAcentral lists this ribosomal RNA (402 nucleotides) under Bacteroidota bacterium. RNAcentral's name for it is "Bacteroidetes bacterium partial 16S ribosomal RNA". It matches the Rfam family "Bacterial small subunit ribosomal RNA", at positions 355 to 776 of the family's 1533-position model. The record is from RNAcentral. Lineage: Bacteria; Pseudomonadati; Bacteroidota.